This 648-nucleotide ribosomal RNA is filed under the name uncultured bacterium. RNAcentral describes it as "bacterial SSU rRNA". It matches the Rfam family "Bacterial small subunit ribosomal RNA", at positions 56 to 700 of the family's 1533-position model. The record is from RNAcentral.
UGCAAGUCGAGCGAGAAAGUACCUUCGGGUACGAGUACAGCGGCGGACGGGUGAGUAACGCGUAGGAAUCUACCUGGUAGUGGGGGACAACGUAUGGAAACGUACGCUAAUACCGCAUACGCCCUACGGGGGAAAGCGGGGGACCUUCGGGCCUCGCGCUAUCAGAUGAGCCUGCGUUAGAUUAGCUAGUUGGUGAGGUAAAGGCUCACCAAGGCGACGAUCUAUAGCUGGUCUGAGAGGAUGAUCAGCCACACUGGAACUGAGACACGGUCCAGACUCCUACGGGAGGCAGCAGUGGGGAAUAUUGCGCAAUGGGGGCAACCCUGACGCAGCCAUGCCGCGUGUGUGAAGAAGGCCUUAGGGUUGUAAAGCACUUUCAAUUGGGAAGAAAGGUCGAUCGUUAAUAGCGGUCGGCUGUGACAUUACCUUUAGAAGAAGCACCGGCUAACUCCGUGCCAGCAGCCGCGGUAAUACGGAGGGUGCGAGCGUUAAUCGGAAUUACUGGGCGUAAAGCGCGCGUAGGCGGUUUGUUAAGUCGGAUGUGAAAGCCCCGGGCUCAACCUGGGAAUUGCAUACGAUACUGGCCGACUAGAGUACGAGAGAGGGAGGUAGAAUUCCAUGUGUAGCGGUGAAAUGCGUAGAUAUGUG